Non-coding RNA from Arachis ipaensis, 728 nucleotides. The record is from RefSeq and is a predicted model, not a curated record. Lineage: Eukaryota; Viridiplantae; Streptophyta; Magnoliopsida; Fabales; Fabaceae.
UGAAUGGCCAAUUCCAUAGGCAGCGAUUCAACCCUAUCGGAGUUAGUACAAGAGAUUAAACCACGCGUAGCUAAUAGUUUGGCCAUGCGCUGAUUUUCCGCAAGUAGAACAGCGUUGGCUGCCAUAAGGUCCGCGUUUGUACGAGGAUGUUGUUGAGUGUCCGAUUGGUCCAUCAUGCUUCGGCUUCUGAAAAGAAAAGAGAGUACAAGGCGUAUAAAGAAGGGAUGAGGGGCGUGGCCCCACGGUGGACGCCAAAUGUUCCGUGCAGAAGAUGCUCCCGAGGUAUAGUUCGCGAUACGAUCCGUCAGAAGUUCGGAAGUGGUCUCCUUGGAACCGUUGACCUCGACGUAAAAGGACUCCGACGCUCAAGUCAGCAUAGAAUUUUAAUAAACUUUUUAAAGAGCAGAAAAUAAAAAUGAGAUAUCCGUAUGAUCGGUAUUAGUGUUCAGUUUCUCAAUAAUCUAUUAGCGCCUGUGUUUUUCCUAUGCCUUUUCAGGCUUUGCUCGUCCGUUUAAAUAGAUAAUGAGCUAGGAAAUAUCCGUUAGGUGAAUGUUUUAGUAGUGUUCAAUUUUUUAGGGUUGAUUACUGGGGAUCAACUUCUGAAUUUGGUUGGUGCGAGAUUCUCACCUUACGUAGAGUGUUUUACUUCUUCUCUAUUGUGGAUUUAUUGUGGAUUUAUUAGCCGAGGAUAUCGGAAAGGUAUAUAUACUAUCUUUCGAUGAUAAGUU